ACAGAGCUCUGGAAGGUAAGGCCCCGACAUGUUAGGGGCUGUCGGAUCCAAUCCAGCCAGCAUGAUCCUCCUCUACGAGACAAGACACAAAACCGGAAAAUAAUUCUCUUUUUGUUUUUUCUCUUUUGCAAUUGGUGUUGGUAUUUAUCUCCGGGUGUAAUUAACAGAGCAGGGUUAAGCUCUGGCUUCAGUCACAGAGCUGGAUCAAAACUGAAGACAGUGUCCACCCUGUGCUGCCUGUGUUGUGUGUGGACAAACAAAAGCACAAAGCUCUGAGCGCUUGAUCUGGGAGAGUCAUCCCCAAAAUAAGAAACAGGCGAUACGUAUAGCCAACACCAGCAACAUUUUGACCCAGCUAUGUGGGCAGUUAUCUCCAUUUCAUUCCUGUAAAACGGUACCAGCAUCAAGAUGUCUGGCUCUCAAGACCAAAACGACCGAGGAUCAGGUGUUUAACAAGUGACUGUGUUAACUGGGGACUUUCAGCCAAACGGGUCCGUGGUUGCUUCACUGACAUAUUUACGUUGGCAUAGAUAAUAAACAAAGAUGAAUCUGAACUCAAAAUGAAUUAAAUGCUUUUACAAGCACACGGCGAUGUUCUGCUGGUGUUUUCAACAGCUGCCGAGAGGCCGGUUAACACGGUCAUUUGAUAAGCUGAAACACACGCUUAUGGCUCUAAGCUGACUCCCACUGGACUGAUCAAAAAUCCAUGUGUUCGUAAUAUUCUUUUUAAAACCCAAUGAUCUAAAAACCUGUUUUACGUUCUGUACCUCGGUGGUCCCCAACCAGCGGUCUUUUUCUGAAACCUAUUGUAUAUUGAAAAAUGUGAAAUGGCUAAUUGUCAAUCAAUCCGGUCCCAUGCGUGAUCAGAAUAUUGAUUAUGAAAGACAACCAGAAAAACUGUGUGAGAAAUAAAGCAAUUAUUUGUUCUCUUUAGAAGACUUAAAACACCCAGGUGUUUUUACGUUUUUACAGUUUUACAGGAAUAUUUUCAUUAAGUCUAUGCACCAUUGGAUGUCCUACAAAUAUGGCUUAGCAGCAGUAUUUCUAGGUGACACUUUUAUUUGUCCUUUUGGCUGUAGUUUCUCCAGUGGCUGUUUAGUUAAUCACUGAACCAAAAGUAGUCGAAAGGGAAAAUUUUAUUAAGUGACACUCUUUUAUUCCACUGCUGUUUUACCGUGGAUGCCCUUGUUCGGUGGAGCUGGGGAAGCCAUCAGCAUCCAAGACACUUCAACAGAGACGUCUCUGCAGCUCAGAGGUCUGCCGGAGACCAGGUUCCAAUUUGUAGUCGACUGAGGAGUGUGGCAAGCAGGCAACGUCCCAUUAUCACCACAACCCACUCACUCUUGCUCUAUGUGGUCCAACGAGGUGACCAUCUGGGAGCGAUGGAGGAGGACGGGAUCCCAGCCCAACUCAAAAUACAGAGAAAGGAAGAUAAAGUGGUGCGCUACAGAGAGAAAGAGGGAGCCUGUCCUUUCUACUAGUGUCUGCUCACUGCUAAUCUCCCCAGGUCCUGCAUUGCCUCAUCCUAUAUGAGCUCAAAAUGGGCUGGGACCCAUGUGUCAAGGUUUGCACUGUGGGGACUAGGCUUGGCCUGAAAGCCUGGGAAACGUGUAGAUAUUUGGCCAUAUACAAUUUAGCUGCCAAGAGCAAAUAUUGCAUGCAUGUAUGCUCGUGCACAAACGCGGAAAUAGACACAUACUACAUUCAAAACCCGUGGCUAAGCAAGUGGGUGCACAACUAUGAAAAAACGCUGUAGGUAAACAGGUCGGGAACAUCGUGGUUGUGCCGAGGGAAAAAUCCCCCCUGCAGGAUCCCAGCCCCUUGUGUUCCUUCCACCACACACACACCUCACAAAUCAUCGCAGAUCUCAACAAGUCCACAUUCCUCAAGAUUCAACUUCAUGAGAAACAUAUGGCUGACGUGAAUCCCAUUAUUCCUGAUUAAGUGAGUAUUAGGGGAAACCAUCCAUAAUAAAUAUUUUAGGUAGUUAACUGGAAUUCAUUAGAUUAAUACAGCAUUGUACGGUUAAGCAAUAAGGUACGAGAGGCUGUGCUUUAUCGUCCAAUAAUGUAACUGUUCGGGGGGCGUUGUUAGGCCCGAUGCUCAGCGGAGGAACUGUUACAUUACACAGAACGCGCUGGUCUGAUGGGGAAAAGUCCAGUGUUUUGGGGACCAAACAUAUACUUCCUUGCAGUGCUGAGCUAAAAGGUGAGUCCUUGUGCUUUGACUUGACACAAAUCAAUCACAGAGAUGAAAUGUUGUCGGCGAUGAGGCGCAGCCAUUCUGUUUCUGCCUGCAGGGACGUCGCUGAAGGCUUGAGGACUCAUUGCACCAAGAAGAGAUUUGACGUGCAGGUGAUGGCGUGGCAUUCGGUCGUUGAGCUCACUCUACCCUCCAAUUCCGAGUCAUCCCACAAUCAGCUGUGAACACAGAUGAAAGGAACAAGACAGGGAUAACACGACAGGGAGCAGAAAAAAGAUGUGUAGGAAGAAAACACAGACAGGGAGAAAAAAAAAACUCCUGCAGCAAACAUUGGCGGAGGAUAAUUAGAAGGCAAGAUCUUGUCAUGCAAUGCGUCUACUCAAUUCCUGUGAUAUCCCUGAGAAGCUUCAAGCAGCCCACCCUAUAAUCCAAAGCUUAGCCAAAGGACACUACAGAGGAAGAGGACAACAUAGGAAAGAGACAGACACAACGAGAGAGUUCACAACGUCAGCAGUAAAUCAUGACUAGAAGAGGAUUUUGUCUCAUGUUUUGACACACAAUUACAUAGUUACACCUCAAUCACCACAGAAAAUAGAGCAUACGGCUCUAUGUAUGCUCUAUAAUGCUGGGCAUUAUAUUAAGUCAAUAUUUAACAGGAAGAUACAAACCAAAAAUGUGUUCAGUGCAUGACUCAUAUUGCCCGGGGCAGUGUGGGUGUAUAAACUUUAUUAGGAGCCCUGUAAACCCGGGGCACCCUUUGAUUAUUAAUUACCCAAAAAGAAGCCAUCUAUUACUGAAACCACGUCAUCCUGCUGUUGGCGGAGAAGCCAGCCAGUGAUUCAGAAUGGUGAAGCACAGGAAACAGCUCUGGCAAAUUACACUGAGGGCAGAAGGAGAGUGAAGCGGAGAAAAACAUUGUUGAGCCUGCAGGAGCACAGAAUGAGUGAAGUGGUGACAUAGAAUAAUAUCCAUUGCAAAAUAAAAAGGCCCAGAAUGAUACAAAAAUGCAGAUGUGUUAUGAAUACUAUUGUAGUGUCGUCCUGUCAUUUAAAAUAAUACCACUGUAAUAAAUGCUGGUGUUUGGUAAAAACCAAACCUGCCUCAUGCAAAAGCACAAUAAGUAGUUUUGAGGAUAUAUUCCUCUUUUUGUUACAUAUUUGCAUUCAUAGAUUUUCUUUUAUGCUAUAGAGGUUUUUACAUGUUUGCAUAUAUUUGUUAUUUUAUGUUUUAAUAUUUUUCAUAGCUGUUUAUGUAUUUCAUGUUUCUGGUUCUCUUUUUAUACAUUACUGUCAAGGGUAGGAACAAUGCAUUUUUUUUAUGUAUGUAUGUGACAAAUAAUAAGAAAGUAAAAUAAAUGUCACUUAAAUGAUCAGUUGACACCUGCAGUACUUUUGUAUGAGAACAAAUAAAGAAAAAAAUAGCCCCGUUCACUUCUGGUUUGAUCUAGAACUUUUCAACCUCAGUCGAUUCAUUAGCACUUUCCCUGAGUAGCUGCAUCCGCUCCGUCUGCCUGGAGAUUUAUGCCUGAAAGUGCAAAAGACAGCGAGGGAAAGCACUCUCUGAUUUCAGACUCUCUUUUUUCUUUUUCCUUUCCGCUUCCUCCUCGCAGACCCAAUCCCACCUCCUCUACCCUCCUACUGCCGCCCAUAACGGCACUGAUCUAUGAAAACAUACAAACAUGACACUGAGCCUAUGAUAAACACCAGGUCUGUAUUUGGGGAGUGGAGGAAAUUGACUCCAGUUCAGGAUGUGACCACUACCUCUGCCCAGAUCAAUCAUACUCCAACAGACCUGCGUGUGGGGGGCAACCAUAUCAGAACAGGGGGGUUGGGUGGCGUACACACACAUACACACACACACACACAAUAGACACACUCACACAACAAAAGCCCUGGACAUUUCUGUGCAGUACAAUGCGCACAUGGGCACAGCACACACAAAGUUAAGUCCCCCCGGCAGGCAGGUAAAGAAUGAGCCCGCUGCAACUGGAUUCCAGGGCAGCGGUGCUGGGUUUACACUUUCAACUCCCCCUGCCUUAUCUCUCAGAUUAGCUCGAUAAGAGAAUUAUGAAGCCAGACGGACAUCUAAAGCUUCCUGGGGGGUCAACGGUGUGAUGAGAGACAGCCCGCGAGGGGAGACCGCCGCCUCUGAACCGCUUAACUCUCCCACAACAUAUGAGCGCACACGUGCACUUAUGUGCACAGACCCCGACCCCGGGGCUCAACUUUUUCAUUGCUCCAUCAUCCCUACUGCCCUUUAUCGGAAAGAGAAGGAGCGGGAAAGAAAGGAGGAGGGAAGAAAAGGACGGGGCUCAGUACAGAUAGCCUUGCUUCUGCAACUUCCUUCCUGUGCAUUCCAGGUUUUGUGAGCCUCUUUCAAGGACAAAGAGCUGAAACUCACUUCCCUCUUUCUUCUGAAGAUUCUGAGGAAAAAAAAUGAGAGUUCCUCCACGAGUCGCAGGAAGCAGCAAGAGUGAUAAAUUAUGGUGGUCAGGAAGUCACCUGGUCACAGGAGCAACUCAGCACUGUGCAGGUACGAACAUCUGGUCAUGAAAUGUGUUCAUGAACAUGAACAGUGGGCGUGAAAUAUUCCUACAGGUGUUUAGAAUAGACAAAUAUAUGUAUAUAUAAUGUAAUUAUUUAAUUGUAAUUUGAAAUUAGAAUUUGCAAAAUUCCAACUUCUGAAAAAUUCAGCCCAAAUCUCAAAACUAUUGGAUGGCAGCCCUCUUGUGCUACUAACAAGUUGUAAAAAUGAAAGAAAUGUCAAUAACUGUUCCAUCUGAGGACAACAUGGAGAAUUAUAUUUACCAUAUGUUGGAUGCUGUUCCCUACCACCUAGCACUAAAAACAAGCCUAGGGAUUUGCUGUUAGCAGAAGCGAAUGUGUGCCCUCACCAAUCACACAUCGUCCCCAAACUCAACACGAUUCCAGACCCUAAAACCCUUUAAAGGAGCAACAAGCACUGCACCAACCGCGCCCCAAACCUGUACGCGUUUCCCUCGCAUCCAGAGAGAAACAGCAAUUCUCGGCGUCCCUCCAUCCCAUGAUUCAUCCUCCAGCGCUGUCAUCUGUGACCGGUGACGCGCCGUGCUGCCAUAAUGAAACCUUUUUGCGGGGACUGCAGCUGCGCCGACACUUCUAAUCUAAUCCCGAGCUCUGGUAUCCUCUUCACCUAUGAACCGCGCAAAAAUGCCCCUACGGACCCCUUAAUGCAGACGCCGUUCACACUCGUGCCCUCACCCUUGGCUGCAACCAGCCAGCCUCUCAUGCCAUGUUAAUUUAAUCCUAAAACACUUCCUAUGGCAGCCUGUUAAUGUCAGGGUAGAUUUCCUCCGCCUGCUGGGUAACCCAGAAAAGAGCACCACCCUGCCACUUUGCCAGGAACCUUCCUCGGUUUAGUCCUUCCCAACAAACAGCAAAUAUGCUUCAAAAACCAAUAAACCCACCUCUGAUAUUUAUUAGGCCGUGAUUCAAGUAUUCCCCGCCUACUCGGCCAAAUGGAGACGCACACGCAUGCGAGUGUAUGCACACACUCAUACACACAAACACACGCAGGCGGUCACACGCCUUUCGUCAGCUGCAGACGUAUUAGUAAUUCUAAUGAGGAGCAGGAGAUUAAAGGGUUGCAUUGUCUUGGGUGUUACACUACACGUCGAGCUCUACCAGGGGGACCAGAGGUCAAGAAGAGGAACACGGAUGAAGGAAGUUGAGAACAUUUCUUGAUUAAAGGCCUCUGUAACAUCUAACCUUUGACAGACUCGUCGGUGCUCCGACAGCAUAUGCUGCCCGGCCCAGGUCGACGGGUUUGUUCCUGCUAAAGAAAAGAGGAUAAAGGAUCAUAUUCUGGGACUCGGACUUGGUGAUCAUAAAUAUUCUGAGGAGUAUGUGAUGCACUUACAUCAAACACGUAUUGAAAAGGUAGAACGCUGAGGCUGGAUUCUGAAAAAUGCUGACCGAGAUAUCGAAAACAAAACAGUUCCCAUGCUAAAAACAACUUUAUGGGGCGCAUCUCCACCUUUUCCUCUCAUUCAUUCAUUCAAGCCACUGUUUCCUCAAGUCCCCUGACCUUACAACUGCCUCACCCCCACCCAGCAGUUUGCUUAUCAAUCCUCCCUCAGCUCCGUCAUCAAUCUCCCAGUGAAAAUCUCCUUGUUUCUGCCAGUUGUUUCCUCGACUGCCCGCGUAUUUGCUAAGACCCCGCAAAGGCUCCCCCUUUCCUGCCGAGUGAGUCGAAGGCUAAUAAAACUGUCUUGGUCAGUCAUAAGACACCAAGGGGGAGAGCGAGAGGGAGGGGAGGAGGGUGGGGUUGCUGGGGGGGUAGCAGGGUCACGGCUCAGAACAGCCUCAGUCGGACCUUACUGGCUCAGCCGAGGGGAGGUUCUCGCUUUUUAGACCUCCAAACCUUGAGGAUGAUAAAUGGCAUUUAAAGGAGACAGUAAAACACAACCAUUGCAUAAAGUCAUCAGUUAAACUUAAUUACAAAAUAUAUGGGGGUUUGAUUGAAUGGGUCUCAGGGGAGUGAUCGGGGAGAGAAGCUGCAGGCCGGCCGUAGAAAGUCGCCCGACGAGCGGCCACAUAUUCCCUUGAAGUGGAACCUGGUCUGUGUAAAGGACGUCAGUGAUGAUUCAUCCUGGGCCGCCAUUAAAGCAAACGUUGGUCACCACCACACCAUGCCUUCCUUAAGAAGAAACCUGAAAACAUCCAGGCAAUUCAUUUAAAAUCAUGUUCUUAGACUCCCAAGAGCAACAUCCUACGCUUGUUUGUAAGAACCAGUGUGAGAAUGACUGUACCUGCUUCUUCAACAUCAACCCAAUCAACUGCAAAAUGUGGUCCAGUAACAUGCAAUUUACAGACCUAACACAUUUCAUCAGGUAUCAGUGUAGGAUCUCAUUCCCCAGACAAGAACCUUGAAAAAAAACACAGAAUUAGAAAAUUCUGCCAAACCACCGAUUACAAUCAGUAACUGACUUUUCUAAACUAAUUUGUUCCUGACUGUUAUCUGGUGUUUUAAAUUGCAAAUCAGGUGACUUUUGAGUUUUGGCGUGCGGGACAUAAACAUAAUGAACAAUCUAAUGAAGCUUUGAAGUUGAUUGAAAAUCUGGAUUCAUUGUUUCCUUGUAAUGCACACGAGGCCAAUAUUGUUCAAUUAUCAUAAAUAAAGUGACCAAUGUGUAUAACUUUAUAGCACUUAAUCACAAGUGUGUUUGGUAAACCUGGGGAACAAGAGAUUGUUUAUUAACAGCCAUUCAUCAUAUAUACAUAUGGCAAACAUGGCAGCAGUGCCAUAGAGAUUAGAAUGCAUGCUUUAUGUAAGUUACCACGUCUGGUUUUCCUUGUAGGUGUGUGUGUGUGUGUGUGUGUGUGUGUGUGUGUGUGUACCUGUUACGUUUCUGUCUGAGGACUUUGUUACUGCUUCUGAGUGUUGGGGUGCAGCCGUGCAUGCAAUCAGUCUGGUUUUAAAUAUUUUUUUAAAUGUUGGACCUCCUAUAACUCAAAAAAACACAAUCACAUAUUCCCCAAAACGCACACACACAUAAAUGCAAAGACGUUUGUACAUAAUUUCAAGCAAAAUGAUUCAUGCCUCUUUCUUAUUGAACACGAUUUGUUUCUC
Molecule: long non-coding RNA, 7812 nt
Organism: Gasterosteus aculeatus aculeatus (three-spined stickleback)
Lineage: Eukaryota; Metazoa; Chordata; Actinopteri; Perciformes; Gasterosteidae
Source: Ensembl